CGGCAAACUAUAUUCAGCUGUGGUGUCAACUCCUGUACAAUUUUCUGCAUCACUGGGUAAAGUUUGUCCU
This 70-nucleotide microRNA precursor is filed under the name Bactrocera dorsalis (oriental fruit fly). Its description in RNAcentral is "microRNA bdo-mir-309b precursor". Its record names the gene bdo-mir-309b. Lineage: Eukaryota; Metazoa; Arthropoda; Insecta; Diptera; Tephritidae. The record is from miRBase by way of RNAcentral.